RNAcentral lists this unclassified non-coding RNA (305 nucleotides) under uncultured fungus. RNAcentral describes it as "sequence contains ITS2". The stretch from base 1 to 52 matches the Rfam family "5.8S ribosomal RNA", at positions 103 to 154 of the family's 154-position model. Lineage: Eukaryota; Fungi. The record is from RNAcentral.
AACGCACCUUGCGCCCCUUGGUAUUCCGAGGGGCAUGCCUGUUUGAGUGUCUUGAAAUCAUCAAACCUAACCGGUCUUUGUUGGCCGGCGCGGUUUGGACUUGGGGGUUUCCUUGCUGCCGCUCGCGGUGGCUCCCCUUAAAUUCAUCGGUCGGGCUUUCGUGCGGCUCUGUCCCUUGGCGUUGUAUUACCCUCGUCGCUGGAUGGCUCGCGAUACUGCGCCCUUCUUUGACCUGCCUCUGGAGCGGCGGUCUUCAACUUUUGUGAUCUGACCUCAAAUCAGGUAGGACUACCCGCUGAACUUAA